AUGCCAGUCGAGCGGCAGCGACAUAAACAAUCCUUCGGGUGCGCUUAUGGGCGGCGAGCGGCGGACGGGUGAGUAAUGCCUGGGAAUAUGCCCUGAUGUGGGGGAUAACCAUUGGAAACGAUGGCUAAUACCGCAUAAUCUCUUCGGAGCAAAGAGGGGGACCUUCGGGCCUCUCGCGUCAGGAUUAGCCCAGGUGAGAUUAGCUAGUUGGUGAGGUAAGAGCUCACCAAGGCGACGAUCUCUACCUGGUCUGAGAGGAUGAUCAGCCUCACUGGAACUGACACACGGUCCAGACUCCUACGGGAGGCAGCACUGGGGAAUAUUGCACAAUGGGGGAAACCCUGAUGCAUCCAUGCCGCGUGUGUGAAGAAGGCCUUCCGGUUGUAAAGCACUUUCAGUUGUGAAGAAGGCAUAUACGUUAAUAUCGUAUGUGUCUGACGUUACCAACAGAAGAAGCAACGGUUAACUGCAUUCCAGCAGUCGGGGUAGUACUGAGGGUGCCAUUGUUAAUCCGCAAUUCUGCGCCUAUAGCGCCUGCCCGCGGCUUGUUCAUCCAGAUGUGAGUGCCCGGACCUCAUCCCCGGGAGGGCAUUUGGAAGCGGUAGGCUAAAAUCUCAAAGAGGGGGGUUCAAUCUCCCGGUGUAGAGGU
This 649-nucleotide ribosomal RNA is filed under the name Photobacterium sp. RNAcentral's name for it is "bacterial SSU rRNA". It matches the Rfam family "Bacterial small subunit ribosomal RNA", at positions 55 to 682 of the family's 1533-position model. The record is from RNAcentral. Lineage: Bacteria; Pseudomonadati; Pseudomonadota; Gammaproteobacteria; Vibrionales; Vibrionaceae.